CCCUUUGAUACUCUGGGCGGCACGCGCGCUACACUGGUUUAUAUAACGUGUAAUUUGGACGAUAGUCUGUAUAAAUCACUAAUAUAAAACCGUGAAUGGGAUAGUUUAUUGCAACUUACAAACUUUAACUAGGAAUCCCUUGUAGAAGUAGUGAAUUAUACUGCUUCGAAUACGUCCCUGCCGAUUGUACACACCGCCCGUCGUUCCUUCCGACUGGUACUCAUUGUGAAUUGCGAGGAGAUUCUGUCAAAUCGUUGUAAAUGCUGGGUAUUGGAGGAAGAAAAAGUCGUAACA
This 294-nucleotide ribosomal RNA is filed under the name uncultured eukaryote. Its description in RNAcentral is "partial 18S ribosomal RNA". It matches the Rfam family "Eukaryotic small subunit ribosomal RNA", at positions 1470 to 1796 of the family's 1831-position model. The record is from RNAcentral.